CAGAAGAUAGUUUAAAGAGAUAAAAAUUUCGGUUUUGGGGACCGGAGAUGGGGGGGGGCCCCCUCUUUUGA
RNAcentral lists this transfer RNA (71 nucleotides) under Aspidoscelis neomexicanus. Its description in RNAcentral is "tRNA-Pro". RNAcentral also lists the same sequence under 1 other name. The record is from RNAcentral. Lineage: Eukaryota; Metazoa; Chordata; Lepidosauria; Squamata; Teiidae.